RNAcentral lists this ribosomal RNA (250 nucleotides) under uncultured bacterium. RNAcentral describes it as "partial 16S ribosomal RNA". It matches the Rfam family "Bacterial small subunit ribosomal RNA", at positions 355 to 598 of the family's 1533-position model. The record is from RNAcentral.
UGGGGAAUCUUGCGCAAUGGGCGAAAGCCUGACGCAGCGACGCCGCGUGGGUGAUGAAGGCCUUCGGGUUGUAAAGCUCUGUGGGGAGAGACGAAUAAGACGCGGCUAACAUCCACGGCGAUGACGGUAUCUCCUUAGCAAGCACCGGCUAACUCUGUGCCAGCAGCCGCGGUAAGACAGAGGGUGCAAACGUUGUUCGGAAUUACUGGGCGUAAAGCGUGUGUAGGCGGCCACGUAAGUUGGAUGUGAA